RNAcentral lists this long non-coding RNA (3589 nucleotides) under Lupinus angustifolius (narrow-leaved blue lupine). RNAcentral's name for it is "long non-coding RNA (LANG_LNC001932)". Lineage: Eukaryota; Viridiplantae; Streptophyta; Magnoliopsida; Fabales; Fabaceae. The record is from RNAcentral.
GCUCUCUUAGUUUUAGAUUCUUUGGAAGGAUUUUACGACGCCGAAGUGCCAAAUCACGAUGUAAAGAAGGAUGCAAACUUAUUGGGUCUUCGCCGGACCUGCAUCAUGUUGAUGGAGUGUUUAAGUGUUCUGCUAAGCAACUCAGAGAGUGUUUCUGAUGUGAUUUCAGAAGAUAUCAAGGACAAGGCAAAGGCAGUUGCUGAAGAGUGGAAACCAAGAUUACUUGAUAUAGAUGCCAGCAAUGGGAACUCCUUAGAGGCUCAUGCAUUUUUGCAACUUAUAGCUAGUUUUGGUAUUGCGUCCAAUUUUAAUGAGGAGGAAUUGUCCAGGCUGAUUCCAUUGGUGUCUCGGCGUAGACAAGCUGCCGAUUUAUGUCGUUCCCUUGGGUUGUCCGAGAAGAUGCCUGGUGCGUAUAUGUUCACAUAUAAUAUCAUCAUGGAUUAUUUUGCCAACCUAACGGAUUGCAAUGCAAUGGUGAUGGGCUUUUUAAUGUGAACCAAUGACCUUAGUUUCUUAGUAGCAUCCCAUUGUGGUUUUUAACUUGCAAGUAUGAUGCAUGAAACUAAAAUUUGCAUAAAUUGCAUAUUUAAAUUUAAUGCUUCGUUUUACUUUUGGAUGUGCAGGUGUAAUCAAAGUUUUGGUGGACAGUGGCCGCCAUAUUGAUGCAGUUAACUUGGCUUUUGCAUUUGAUCUCACAGAACAGUUUUCUCCUGUGCCUUUACUGAAGUCUUACUUGGAUGAUGCUAGAAAAUUUUCUCAUGUCAAAAGUGUUAACUCGUCUCCCACUGCACAGGUGUGUUGUAUAGUUUCUUCUGUUAUGUAUUUCUUCCCUUUGUUUGUUUCCUUUAAUAAUUUGAACCAUAGAUCAGAAAUAUUUUGGAUUCUUUUGAUAUUUAUGUCCUGUUCCAAUUGAGGUACCCUAAUAGUCUCAUUGCCAUAAUGAACUAUUGACUUUGGUAGUCGCAGAGGAAUUUUCCUUGUUGUAAAAACUAGUUGUGUAGUAAGACUGUUGAAGAUUAUAUGUAACAGUGACAGAAAUUCUUACCCUUGAGCUUAUAUUUCUUUGGUGCUAAAGCUUCAUGAAAGCCUUAGCAGUCUAAAAGAACUUGAUUGUAGAGUUUGUAGUCUUGGGUGAGUUUUAUUCGUGUGAGUUGUUUGACUAACAAAUUAUACAUCUUAACUACAUUAGGGAAAGACCGAGAUGUGAACCCAACUAUCUGAUCAUUCAGUUAUUUAAAUUAGAAUCUUAAUUCAUGAGAGUAGUAUUAGGAUUUUUGGUGGUUUCUGGAAUUCACCUUGAGUUGCUACGAAACGAUUUGAUAAAAGAUCCAAGUAUGUGCGACUUCAAUUGAGUACACGUGUUGGAACUCGAGAGAUGAUAACACAUAUCAAAGAUGAAUUCACUCUCGUAAUUAAAGUUCAUGAAAAGGAGCAAAACAUGGAUUUGCGAGUGUAAAUGCGGUAAAGUUUAUUCUAGGAAUUCUUCCUAAAUUAAAUUUAAAUCAUUUUUAAUAUUUUCGUAAUUAUUCUUGUCAACUGUUCGAUUGAUCUAAAUUCAAUUUUAUUCCUUAUUUCAAUUAAGUAUAAAUUAAUCCUUACAAUUAAAUGAACUUUUCAGUCUUCAUGAGAUCAAUAUUUUAUUACUUGACUACAUAAUCGUGCACUUACAAUUUGCCCUAUCACAUUUAUUCUAUAGAUGUUACAUAAAUUUAAUAUAUAAAUGAAGAAUAUUUUUCCCAUAUCUUUAUUCUUAUUGUUAUCUGAGUCUUAUAUAUAUAUAUAUAGAGUUGUGACCCUGUGAUUAUGAUAAGUGCAGCACACAUAGAGAAGAAAAUGGAAUUACAAAUUUCUCUUUCUUUCUCUUCUUAAUGUAUUUCUAUCACUAUCACAUCAAUCAGAAUAAGGUUAACUCUCUCUCUUCAUUUUCCUUAUUCUUCUAAUGCUUCAUUUCAAUUGUUUUGUUGAUUUUGCUCCACUUUCUUUUUUUAGGGUUUUUUUCUUUAUUGUCACUCAAUAUUUUGAUCGUAAUUCCAGUUUUAGUUAGUUUUCAACUAAACAAAUUAUAAAGAAAUGAAUACUUGUCCAAAAUUUUGAAGGAUUUAAGUAUACCGUUUAAGGUAGUGAAGUUUGUGGUCUUGGAAACAGCUAGAAUAGAGUAAGAUUGCGUACAUAUAGCUUACUUAGACUCGAGUUUUGUGUAUUGGGUUGUCCUUUUGUUUAAAGUAAAUACCCAUUUCGGUCUCUCAGGUUUUUUCGAUCUUACCAACUUGGUCUAUCAAAAAUUGAGAAACCUAAAAUAGUCCCCCCAAAUUUCAAAUGUGGGUCAUACUAGUCCUUUAUAGGGUUAAAUUAGUCCGUGCUGUAAGGACUAAUUUGACUCAUAUUUCAGAUUUUUGGGAACCAUUUUUGGUUUUUCAAUUUUUUCAGAGAAAGUAAGCUCGAAAAACAAAAACAUGAGGGACCGAAUGAGUAUUUACUUUUUUUAUUGUUGUAAUUUACGUUAGCUAUAGAGUUUUUGUAGUAUUAUAUUGACACUAUAAUUUGUCACAAACUUAACCCUAACUUUACUAGAUGCUGUUCAUGUUUGUGUUCAUUCCAAAUCAAGAUGAUGAGUAUUUGUAAUUGCUGAUAAGUGUUUAGGUCAUUGUACUGCACAUGCUUCCUCCUUUUGUAUGUUGAAUUUGGUAUUUAUUUCAUUAUUUUAGUGAUGGAGGACACAGAUUCAUUUGCUACACUGAUGGAUUCUACAUCUUCGAAGAUACAACAGCUCCAGAAGGCAUUUGCUGAACUUGAAAGUUAUCGAGCUGUUACGCUGAACUUGAAGUGGAAAGAACUCGAGGCACAUUUUCGUGGACUUGAGAAAUCAUUGAAGAGACGCUUUCAUGAGUUGGAAGAUCAAGAAAAAGAGUUUGAAAACAAAACAAUGAAAGCUCAGGAAAUUGUCAAGAAGCGUGAAGCAGCUGUUGUUGCCAAGGAGCAAGCUACUUUGCAGAGGCUUCAAGAGAAAAGGGACGCUGCCGUUUUCGCCAUUGUAAAUGCUCGAGAAAAACACAGGAAAGUUUCAUCAAAGGGAAUUGCUAUUGUCUCAGAUGGGGAUGAGGGUCAUGGGACACCAGAAGUGGAAGAGAAACCCAUGAAUAGUGCGUGUGUUGCUGCCGAAGUCAACUUACAAGAUGUGAAAACUUCUCCUGGAAUUGCAAAUGUGGAGUCCAUGUCUUAUCUAGAGUUGGUAAAACUUUGCGAAGAGAUGGAUGCUGGAGGAAUUCACAAGUUUAUUUCUGAUAACCGUAAGAACCUUGCUGCUAUAAGGGAGGAAGUACCACUAGCAUUAAGAGCUGCUCCUAAUGCUGCUCUCUUAGUUUUAGAUUCUUUGGAAGGAUUUUACGACGCCGAAGUGCCAAAUCACGAUGUAAAGAAGGAUGCAAACUUAUUGGGUCUUCGCCGGACCUGCAUCAUGUUGAUGGAGUGUUUAAGUGUUCUGCUAAGCAACUCAGAGAGUGUUUCUGAUGUGAUUUCAGAAGAUAUCAAGGACAAGGCAAAGGCAGUUGCUGAAGAGUGGAAACCAAGAUUACUUGAUAUAGAUGCCAGC